Molecule: small nucleolar RNA, 213 nt
Organism: Danio aesculapii
Lineage: Eukaryota; Metazoa; Chordata; Actinopteri; Cypriniformes; Danionidae
Product: small nucleolar RNA U3
Exons: 1
Source: RefSeq, a predicted model, not a curated record
AAGACUAUACUUUCAGGGAUCAUUUCUAUAGUUCUUAACUAGGAAAUGUGUUUCUAAAGUGUCGAGUCUCCCAAACCACGAUGAAGAGUGACGGUGUACUCCUCUGAGCGUGAAUCAGAUAAUAGUCUGUGAUUGAUUCAUGGAUAUUUAUCAUUGAUGAACGUUCUGCGAUUCUUAAUGGGUCAUAGAGGAGGAGUACAUGAGCAGAGUGGU